Vicia villosa (hairy vetch) is the source of this 876-nucleotide long non-coding RNA. RefSeq lists it as uncharacterized. NCBI's taxonomy places the organism in Eukaryota, Viridiplantae, Streptophyta, Magnoliopsida, Fabales, Fabaceae. The transcript is spliced from 3 exons. The record is from RefSeq and is a predicted model, not a curated record.
AUUCACCCUAGAAAUUUUCAGAGAGGCUUCUUUGAAACAAUUUUUGACAAAAUGGGGUAAGGUGCGCUCGGAGAUGCAUCUCUGAAAUUUUUUGAGAGAAAUUUCGGGUUUACAGAAGUGUGAGCCACAUCAUAAGGGUAAAAAUUUCUGUCAAUAUAGUUGAGCAGCCAUUGAAUGAUGGAAAUGAUCUUGCUAGCUGACUUGCGGAUCAAUAUGAAGGCAAUCAUUCUCAAUGAAGUUUCUAUGAAAGAAAACUUUUUUGAAUUUCAGAAGGCUUUGCACCAGCCGUAAAACAUGAUCUCCUUGAGAUUUCUUUAGAUAAUAUUGUUAAGAGAACAAUUUGAAAGAUUUUGCCGACAUAUUUGAAGGGUUCUGAUUGCACCGACAAAUUUGUGUGGCCUAGAAUCAAUCUUCAUUUGUAUAAAUAAGGGCAUAUAUUAUAAAGAAAUACAUCUCAAAAAAUAUCUCUUCCUGAAUUUUUUAUUAAGGCUGGAGUGUAUUUCAACAGAAACAAUCCUCCUGUUGAAUUCAAGCUUUCAGAUAGCGUCGCACCCCUCGCCAACUUGACAAACAAGUUGAAUGAGUUAGUGUCUGAUAUCGAUAACAAAACACUGAGUAGAAGACCAACGAAGAUGUCAAGGCCAUGUGGAAAUCAUUUCGCCGUAGGAUAACUAAAGGUCUGAUCAAGUUGGAUGCGCAGAUAACAAGAUUCGUUGACGAUAUAAUGAAGAUGUUGAAACGUUCAAAAUCAUCUAGUAGUACUUAGAUUUUCAUGUUUAGUGCUUUUAAUUUUUGUUUGUUGUACUGUUUUUUGUUGUGUUCAUCUUUGAAUCAUGUAAUUCCCAAAAAUAUUAUAAAAUAUUACCAAACCAGUGA